UAAUUAAGCGGAGGAAAAGAAACUAACCAGGAUUCCCUCAGUAAGGGCGACUGAAGCGGGAAUAGCUCACGAUGUGAAUCUGCGCCUUGUGCGCCGAAUUGUGGUCUGGAGACUCUUGCAUUACUGGCCGAACCAAGUCUGUUGGAAAGCAGCAGCGGAGAGGGUGAAACUCCCGUCCGUUUGGCCUUUGGAGCGAGUGUCUACGAGUCGAGUUGUUUGGGAUUGCAGCUCUAAGCGGGUGGUAAAUUCCAUCUAAAGCUAAAUAUUGGUGGGAGACCGAUAGCGUACAAGUACCGUGAGGGAAAGAUGCAAAGAACUUUGAAAAGAGAGUGAAAAGUACCUGAAAUUGCUGAAAAGGAAGCGAAGGAAAUCAGUGUGUAGUUGCGUCAUACUUCCCCACUCGCUUGCGGAUGGGGCGCUGUGGCCAGCGUGGUCAGCCUUGGUGGGGACCGUCGGACACUCGUUGUGAGAGUUGAUCGCAGCAUGCCGCGACGGUUUCGACUGAGGUUGACGAAAUGAUUUUCUUUUUCCCG
RNAcentral lists this ribosomal RNA (533 nucleotides) under Mayamaea atomus. RNAcentral's name for it is "eukaryotic LSU rRNA". It matches the Rfam family "Eukaryotic large subunit ribosomal RNA", at positions 43 to 651 of the family's 3401-position model. The record is from RNAcentral. Lineage: Eukaryota; Bacillariophyta; Bacillariophyceae; Sellaphorales; Sellaphoraceae.